RNAcentral lists this long non-coding RNA (2184 nucleotides) under Salmo salar (Atlantic salmon). RNAcentral describes it as "lncRNA (ENSSSAG00000092035.1)". Lineage: Eukaryota; Metazoa; Chordata; Actinopteri; Salmoniformes; Salmonidae. The record is from RNAcentral.
AUACAUACAUACAUACAUACAUACAUACAUACAUACAUACAUACAUACAUAUACAUAUAUUCUCUGAAAUGAAAGACCCACACGAUGGAAAUACAGACUGUUUUAUUGAAUGUAUUUACAGCUGACUACAGAGGAGAACAAUAUUAAACAAGGCGUUGUGUAGUUUACAUCAUAUCUCGUGCGUUUUACAUUUGACAGCUCAGCUCCUCAAUACUCCAACAGACAGAACACCAUACAGUUCCUAAUUAAAGUUUCAGUUCCUUCCUUCUUCAAAGGGUUUUUGUCUAUUUAAUAAAAGCUAAAAGCAUAAUAGCAAAUGUUGAAUUCUUGUUAGAUUUAUUUAUUGAUGAACCUCUUUUACUUUAAAAGGUGCACGAUUGUAGCCUGGUCCCUGAUCUGUUUGUGCUGUCUUGGCAACUCUUAGACGGUCAUUAGAGUUGACAAGACAGCGCAAACAGAAAUGAGACCAGGCUAACUGAGACUGUGCAAGUGACUCUCAUUCUACACACUUUGCAUGGCAUCUCUGUCUUAGCAUGAGUUCCAAAUCAGAUUCAGAACAAGAUGACAAGAUAAUGACAAGAUAACCUACUGUACAGUUUGCCUGUCCAUAUCUCUCAUUCCAUUCAACAGAGUUCCUUCCUGUAGUAUCUCUUUCAUUCCCUUCUUGACUUCCCUCAGUCUAUCUCUCUCUCUCUCUCUCUCUCUCUCUCUUUCUCUCUGUCUUCAUCCCUCCCCCCACUUCACUCACAGUAACAGUCCACCAGUAAAAAAACAAAAAAUUGGGAAUACUUAAUGAGCUUGGUAGUUUAAAGCACCUGGCCACAUCACCUAAAUGGCUUAUGGUUCCUUCUAGAAGCCCGAGAUGUUACUGCUGUUAGCCUCUCUAGACAGACGGGUUGCCUUCAUACUUCCAUAAUACUUCACACACCACAUUCAGACCAGUGGGAUGAAUAGGCCUCGGGGAAAAGACCCGUGUCUACCUGGACAGGUAUAACCUACACCUGUCCAGGUUAACUGUAAAUUAUUCCAUUUGAAACCAGUUCAGAUCUUUUAGUUCUUUAAGAUCUUUACAUCUUAUGACACUGUAUAUUACGCUAACAUGCACAAGCGCGUUUUGGCAUGUAUGUAAUGUUGUUGCUUGAGGAAUGAAAGAAACGCUGGUGUGGGACAGGUAGACAGGUGGACAGGUGUAACCUACACCUGGGUUUGGGUUUGAGUAACAGAGAGUGGAGGAAUUAGUUAGAGAAGGAUGGGAUAAGGACGUCUGCCUAUAUUGAGGUGGAUGGUAGGACAGGGGUCACCUGACCCCAUCGCACUCCGGCCGGUUGGUCAGUCGGCAGGUAGUUAGAUUGGGAUAGGUAGUUAGAUUGGGAUAGGUAGUUAGAUUGGGAUAGGUAGUUAGAUUGGGAUAGGUAGUUAGAUUGGGAUCCAGUGGUGGAACAGGGGUAGGAUGAGUAGCAGGUAGUUAGAUUGGGAUAGGUAGUUAGAUUGGGAUAGGUAGUUAGAUUGGGAUCCAGUGGUGGAACAGGGGUAGGAGGAGUAACGGGUAGUUAGAUUGGGAUAGGUAGUUAGAUUGGGAUAGGUUGUUAGAUUGGGAUCGGUAGUUAGAUUGGGAUAGGUAGUUAGAUUGGGAUAGGUAGUUAGAUUGGGAUAGGUAGUUAGAUUGGGAUCCAGUGGUGGAACAGGGGUAGGAAGAGUAGCAGGUAGUUAGAUUGGGAUAGGUAGUUAGAUUGGGAUAGGUAGUUAGAUUGGGAUCCAGUGGAGGAACAGGGGUAGGAAGAGUAGCAGGUAGUUAGAUUGGGAUAGGUAGUUAGAUUGGGAUAGGUAGUUAGAUUGGGAUAGGUAGUUAGAUUGGGAUAGGUAGUUAGAUUGGGAUCCAGUGGAGGAACAGGGGUAGGAAGAGUAGCAGGUAGUUAGAUUGGGAUAGGUAGUUAGAUUGGGAUAGGUAGUUAGAUUGGGAUAGGUAGUUAGAUUGGGAUAGGUAGUUAGAUUGGUAUCCAGUGGAGGAACAGGGGUAGGAAGAGUAGCGGGUAGCUGAGACUUCCUCCCAGAUUGGAUGUGUUUCCUGUCACGUUGCAGUCAUUAAAGAAACAGCAGUGAAAUCUGACCCCUGGCAACCUGUAACCCUGACUGUUGGCCUGGCUACAGAAAGACUUGUAGGAGCAGGACUUCAUCACUCCGCCU